CCUACGGGUGGCAGCAGUGAGGAAUAUUUGUCAAUGGGCGAGAGCCUGAACCAGCGAAGCCGCGUGAAGGAUGAAGGAUCUAUGGUUUGUAAACUUCUGUUAUAUGGGAAUAAAGUGAGAAACGUGUUCCUUUUUGUAUGUACCAUAUGAAUAAGCAUCGGCUAACUCCGUGCCAGCAGCCGCGGUAAUACGGAGGAUGCGAGCGUUAUCCGGAUUUAUUGGGUUUAAAGGGUGCGUAGGUGGUUAAUUAAGUCAGCGGUGAAAGUUUGUGGCUCAACCAUAAAAUUCCCGUUGAAACUGGUUGACUUGAGUAUAGGUGAGGUAGGCGGAAUGCGUGGUGUAGCAGUGAAAUGCAUAGAUAUCGCGAGGAACUCCGAUGGCGAAGGCAGCUUACUAAACUAUAACUGACACUGAAGCACGAAGGCGUGGGGAUCAAACAGGAUUAGAUACCCGUGUAGUC
Molecule: ribosomal RNA, 460 nt
Filed under: uncultured bacterium
Lineage: Bacteria
Description: partial 16S ribosomal RNA
Rfam family: Bacterial small subunit ribosomal RNA
Source: RNAcentral